This 301-nucleotide ribosomal RNA is filed under the name uncultured bacterium. Its description in RNAcentral is "partial 16S ribosomal RNA". It matches the Rfam family "Bacterial small subunit ribosomal RNA", at positions 509 to 807 of the family's 1533-position model. The record is from RNAcentral.
CAGUCGCCGCGGUAAUGCGAAGGGGGCUAGCGUUGCUCGGAAUGACUGGGCGUAAAGGGCGCGUAGGCGGAUGGCACAGUCAGAUGUGAAAUUCCCGGGCUUAACCUGGGGGCUGCAUUUGAUACGUGUUGUCUAGAGUGAGGAAGAGGGUCGUGGAAUUCCCAGUGUAGAGGUGAAAUUCGUAGAUAUUGGGAAGAACACCGGUGGCGAAGGCGGCGACCUGGUCCUUUACUGACGCUGAGGCGCGAAAGCGUGAGGAGCAAACAGGAUUAGAUACCCCUGUAGUCCCUGUCUCUUAUAC